RNAcentral lists this ribosomal RNA (499 nucleotides) under uncultured bacterium. RNAcentral describes it as "bacterial SSU rRNA". It matches the Rfam family "Bacterial small subunit ribosomal RNA", at positions 899 to 1397 of the family's 1533-position model. The record is from RNAcentral.
ACUCAAAUGAAUUGACGGGGACCCGCACAAGCGGUGGAGCAUGUGGAUUAAUUCGAAGCAACGCGAAGAACCUUACCAAGGCAUGACAUACCACGGACGUUCGUAGAGAUACGGAUUCCCUUCGGGGCUGUGGAUACAGGUGGUGCAUGGUUGUCGUCAGCUCGUGUCGUGAGAUGUUGGGUUAAGUCCCGCAACGAGCGCAACCCCUACGUUCAGUAGCCAUCGGAUAAAGCCGGGUACACUGGAUGGACUGCCGUGGAUAACACGGAGGAAGGUGGGGAUGAGGUCAAAUCAUCAUGCCCCUUAAGUCUUGGGCAUCACACGUGCUACAAUGGGCGCAACAGAGUGAAGCGAGCAGGCGACUGUAAGCAAAGCACAAAAAAGCGUCCUCAGUUCGGAUUGUAGUCUGCAACCCGACUACAUGAAGUCGGAAUCGCUAGUAAUCGCGAAUCAGCAUGUCGCGGUGAAUACGUUCCCGGGUCUUGUACACACCGCCCGU